This 76-nucleotide transfer RNA is filed under the name Turnera subulata. Its description in RNAcentral is "tRNA-Arg". The record is from RNAcentral. Lineage: Eukaryota; Viridiplantae; Streptophyta; Magnoliopsida; Malpighiales; Passifloraceae.
GCGUCCAUUGCCUAAUGGAUAGGACAGAGGUCUUCUAAACCUUUGGUAUAGGUUCAAAUCCGUUUGCCUUGGUGCC